Molecule: long non-coding RNA, 1541 nt
Organism: Triticum aestivum (bread wheat)
Lineage: Eukaryota; Viridiplantae; Streptophyta; Magnoliopsida; Poales; Poaceae
Exons: 3
Source: RefSeq, a predicted model, not a curated record
UAUGGCAUGCUUUGUUUCAGUUUAGUUAGAACACUAGCGCGUGUACUCCAGGAGCCCAACCAAAUACGUACUCAAGCACACACACAACCAGCUUGAUUGAUUUCUUUUCUUUAUAUACUAGCAGCAGUAUGUGUAUGUGCAUGUCUCCUUUUCUUCCUUCUCUUGAUGGAUUGAUUGAUCCCCUUACAUGUUUCUUCGAUUUGGAGCAGCGGGAACCCUCCAUGGAUGAGGACGACCACCGGGACCUCCACAGCGACGUUGACGCCCCGCACAUGGUUGAGCUGGACGGAAAAACGGUGCCUUAGUCGCUCGUCGUGAUCGCGGUCGUCUGCGCUGGUGUGGUGCAGCCGAACUGGCUCAGCAACCACGUCGUGUACAAGGGCCAACUCCACUACGGCUCCUCAGCAAGAAGAAGUGCCAUCACUGGUAUGAAACUCAUGCCAGGGGAAGGGAUUCCAUCACUGCCUUUUGAUCCGCAAGUGUAAUCUCCAUUGAGGAUCGUCCCUGUUCGGCAUUCAUCAACACAAUGCCAUCUUCAGUGCCCCUCUCUAGGCCCUCACUCUGAAUUCUUUCGAUUUUAAGCAAGGGAACAAUCUAUAUGCAUCUAAACAUUUUUUUCCAAGUUAUUGCUGCUCUGCUAUGACAAUGUUUCUAGCUCUUGUUCAUAGUGUUCGAGUUUACGUAGUCUCGAUGUUCACUGAAUAAUAUGAAAGGAAUCGUUGAUGCUAUAUAUAUAGCAAAAUUUCUACGCACUUGCAUCAGUUUGUAGAUAUUUCCAGUUAAAAGAUUGUGCUCUGCUCUGGUCUGAGCUAGGCAUUCUAUUUUUCUGUAAAAAAAAUUGCGCUCUGUUUGUCAACCAUUGCUUAUUUAUUUUUUGUUUGUUUUGGAUGCAGUAGGUGCCCUCCUUCCAUGGACGAGGAGGACAUUGACCUGGACCUUGACGGCGACGUCGUCCAGCCCACACAAGAUCUCUAUGCUGCUGUUGGUGGUGGCUGGUGAGGCGAUGCUGGAAAGCAUGGAGGCGUCGUCGGUGAAUAAGAGAAAAGGAAGAGGACACACCGUACAGCUGCCCACUGCUGCUCACCUUGAUGGCUUGACCACCUCUGAUGCGCCGCCGAUGACACAUGGGGAGGCCGAGGUGAACAGGCUUGCGUGGGUAGAGGACCAGCGAUGCGGUCGACGGUGCUCACCCCGACCCCCCCUUGGGAUCUAGGGGGAGGGGCUAUGGCGGCGGCGGCACCGGGAGAGGCGGCGGCGCUCGGAGAGGAGGCACAUACUUUAUUUCUACUUCUACUUUUCUUUUGCACAUGUAGUUUGGAUGCUUUAUCUGCUCAUGGAGCUAUGCUUCUGUUGCAUUGGGCUAAGGUUUGAUUGCUUGAAUGUGUAUGUCAAGGUGUGAGUGCAGACUCAUUGUUGAUGUUGAAUACUGGAGCAAGAAUGAUGAUCAAUGCUCUAAUGAACCUGCAUGAUGUAGCACUACUAUUAAGAUAUAGGGUUAGGCACAUACAUUUUUUGACAAUGGGUACUUUUUUUGGUAAUGG